This 652-nucleotide long non-coding RNA is filed under the name Parus major (Great Tit). RNAcentral describes it as "lncRNA (ENSPMJG00000005004.1)". Lineage: Eukaryota; Metazoa; Chordata; Aves; Passeriformes; Paridae. The record is from RNAcentral.
UUGCCCAUUUCUUAUGUGUUUAAAGACUAAUUAUAAGAAUAAAGAUUUAGUGAUCAAUGCAGAAUUCUAAUUUAAUUGUUGAGUAUUAGAAUGCAUUUUCUCCCCCUCUUCUAACUUAGAAACUGAAUUUUUUUUUUUUUUCAUUUUUUUCCUACCUGGCAAAAGCUAAUUUAAUCCAACUGGAUUGCACAUUCGAAAUGUACAGAAUUUUGGUCCGAUUUACCGAGUAUCACUCCCUGGAUAUAGCUCAAUUUUCCCUCACAGGACUGACAGAUGCCUAAAUGCAAGAGAUUGUUCUUGUCAAGGGAGGCACUGACACAAAUUCAGUUGUGUGGGUUGUUGGCUCUGUCUGAUGUUGUCCCUUCUAAUGCUACAGAACAAAUCACCUUGCACAAGGCUGAACAUUCUGCUGAAUGUUGUAACCUCUCGGGCAUUAUGAAGCUACGUUCAGUCGUGAAUGCUUGUGAUAUUUUGAAGGACUGCAGUACAGUGCAGUGUAUGAUUACCUGUACUUCAUGAUAUGAUAUUUCAUUGAAACUUUUCCAAAUUCAUGAAAAAACGCUGCUUUUCUAUUCCAAUAAUAAUCCAAGUAUAGACUGCUAAAACAAGAAGUGAAAAUGUAAGUACUAACAUUUUUGCAUCUAUUCCAUUU